CAGGGAGACAACAAAAUGUUUAAUAUUAUUAUUUUGUCACCUUAGGUCGAUCGGUAUCUCACGUUUUUAAUUUAUUAAGAAUUUCAUUUCCUAAGUUUUUCUAGGUCACACCCAUUAUUUUUCCUGGGCCAUUAGCUCAGGUGGUUAGAGCGCACCCCUGAUAAGGGUGAGGUCCCUGGUUCAAGUCCAGGAUGGCCCAUAUCUCUAUGUUGGGGGUAUAGCUCAGUUGGUAGAGCGCCUGCUUUGCAAGCAGGAUGUCAGCGGUUCGAGUCCGCUUACCUCCACUGAUCACCACCUCUUCCAUAAUCGGUAGAAAGGAAAUUUUUUGAGUUGUGAUCAAAUUCUGAAAGAAUCUAGCUUCCUAAUGAAAUCAUUAAGAUGCUGGACUCAUUGAAUUAAUUUCAUUGUUUUCAGAGAACCUUGACAACUGCAUAGAUUAUUUUUAAAGACAAUAAGCAUCUUUAAUGAUGCAGAUUUAUUAUUUGUGCAAAUGCAUUAAUAACAAUUCUAUUAAGCUGAUGCUUCAUUAUUUGAAGUUAUU
Molecule: transfer RNA, 541 nt
Filed under: uncultured Prochlorococcus sp.
Lineage: Bacteria; Bacillati; Cyanobacteriota; Cyanophyceae; Synechococcales; Prochlorococcaceae
Description: partial 16S-23S ribosomal RNA intergenic spacer
Rfam family: tRNA (bases 212-284)
Source: RNAcentral